UGGGGAAUAUUGCACAAUGGGCGCCAGCCUGAUGCAGCCAUGCCGCGUGUGUGAAGAAGGCCUUCGGGUUGUAAAGCACUUUCAGCGGGGAGGAAGGCGAUAAGGUUAAUAACCUUGUCGAUUGACGUUACCCGCAGAAGAAGCACCGGCUAACUCCGUGCCAGCAGCCGCGGUAACACGGAGGGUGCAAGCGUUAAUCGGAAUUACUGGGCGUAAAGCGCACGCAGGCGGUCUGUCAAGUCGGAUGUGAAAUCCCCGGGCUCAACCUGGGAACUGCAUUCGAAACUGGCAGGCUAGAGUCUUGUAGAGGGGGGUAGAAUUCCAGGUGUAGCGGUGAAAUGCGUAGAGAUCUGGAGGAAUACCGGUGGCGAAGGCGGCCCCCUGGACAAAGACUGACGCUCAGGUGCGAAAGCGUGGGGAGCAAACAGG
RNAcentral lists this ribosomal RNA (429 nucleotides) under Chloroflexota bacterium. RNAcentral describes it as "Chloroflexi bacterium partial 16S ribosomal RNA". It matches the Rfam family "Bacterial small subunit ribosomal RNA", at positions 355 to 776 of the family's 1533-position model. Lineage: Bacteria; Bacillati; Chloroflexota. The record is from RNAcentral.